Molecule: ribosomal RNA, 110 nt
Filed under: Cyprinodon variegatus (sheepshead minnow)
Lineage: Eukaryota; Metazoa; Chordata; Actinopteri; Cyprinodontiformes; Cyprinodontidae
Source: RNAcentral
GCUUACCCUCCUGAAAUGUCCGAUCUCGUCUGAUCUUGGAAGCUAAGCAGUGUUUGGCCUGGUUAGUUCUUGGAAGUGAGACCGCCUCUGACUACCAGGUGCUGUAAGUU